Equus asinus (donkey) is the source of this 2286-nucleotide long non-coding RNA. The record is from Ensembl. NCBI's taxonomy places the organism in Eukaryota, Metazoa, Chordata, Mammalia, Perissodactyla, Equidae.
GCUUAUGUUUUAUCUUGUAUUACACAGACGCAUGAAAAUAAUUACAGUGCAUGAUGUGCCAAAGGCUCAGAAUAGCAGGACACUUAUUUAAAUUGCAGUUUAGAUUUUCUCAAAUCACUACCUUUUCCUAAGAAGCCCACGUCCUCGUGACCUUGUCAGCCCAAUAAGAAAAGCAGGAAACGUAGGUUAUCAUCUGAAUGUGCAAUCUCCAUCACAUAGCAGAACAUUUCUAACUAGUCAUGUGGCUUUGGGCAAGCAAUUUGAUCUCUUCAAUUUGAAAAACAUUUUCAUGACUACCACGUGCGAGGCUUUGGGAUGGACUUCUGUGGGAUGGCUCAGACAUGUCUUUAAGGAGAAGGGAAUGCUGGGUAGAGAAAAGCGGCCAAUAGGAGGCGAGCAGAAGGCAUUGAGCAACUUCUAGGUCCGCUCUAUAAACAUGUUUUGAAUAUCAAUACAUCCUUGCCUACUGAGUCAGAGAGUGCCGUGCUGUGAAAGCUGAAUUAAGGAGAGUCUUCUGAAGGAGGGGUUUCACAAUGCUACCUACAGGUCAAGGAGGAUGAGAGCUGAAGACUGAGGGAGUGGCCCUCUGCCAGGCCGAUUUUGUUCCCCCAGGAACUUUUGGCAAUCUCUGGAGAUAUUUUUCACAUGUGUGACAACUGGAGGGAGGGGAUGCUAUUGGCAUCCAGUAGGUAGAGGUCAGGGAUGCUGCUAAACACCCCACAAUGCACAGGAAAACCCCCAACAACAAAGAAUGAUGGUGGCCCAAGUGUCAGCGGUGCUGAGUUUGAGAAAGCCUGUCUUAGGGGAUCAGGGCAAUGCUUCCCAAGCUCUGCUACACGUGAGAAUCACCUGUGAAGCUUUUAAAAACUGAUGCCCAGGUCACACCCCGACCAAUUGACUCAUAAUAUCUUGGAGUGAAUUUGAUUAUGUUACCUCUUAAAUCCCUUCUAACUCUAAAACUUUAUGAGAAAUGGGAGUGAUUGAAUACUGCAUUUAAAUCCAGAUUUCCGAGCAGCUGAGAGAGUGACCCCAAUCAAUGCUUGUUACACGUGAAGUCCCGUUAGGUCUAAGUCCAUGGGGAUAAGCAGAAUGUGGAUUUCCACCUGUGCUCAGUGGCGAGGACGAACAAGCAAUGUUUCAUCUCUUUUUCAAAAAUUUUUGUAUAAAUUCUACUCACACCAAUGUUUGAGAGUGGGCUGUGGGAGUUAGGGAAGAUCAGAGUCUUUCUGGGUCAUGUAACAGCAAAUAUAUGACUAAGAAGAAAAAUAUCUUUGCCUCACACAUCCCCAUGUGAUGGAGGCCCAUCCUCACUUCCCCCUUCCCUCCCUCAGCCAAUUUGCAACAAAAGAGGGUAAAAUGCUGCCCUGGAACAAACGACCUCCUUUGAAAGGUGAAACCACUUGCUGGUGUUUGUGGGAGGGAGCACUGUUGAGAGGCAGAGGGGAUGCUCGUUAGGAAUUGUGAUCCUUACUGAACCAGGCGUGGGACCCCGGGCCUCUGAACUGUCUCUUUCUGCUGGGCUCUGAAAUUGGGAGCUUGGCUCCCUAAUUGCCCCCUAUGCUGGUUUUAUUUGGUGGCUCAGCUGGGUGGAGUGAACUCUAGGAAGAGAUGCGUUCAUUUUUAGUUACCUCACCAGAUUGCUGAUUUUCACUCUGGAGGCAUAAAUCACCAUAAUCACUGUAAUCCCAAAACGGAGAGGCAGCUCUUCUGGCACCAGAGCAGCAGCUGUUGCUGCCACCAAAACUCUCCCACCUGAGGUUCGGGGCCGGGGGAGCUGGGGGAGGGGCCCCACGAGGCUUGCUCUGCCAGGCGCUUCAGAUUUGGGAUGGAGGGCAUGCUGGAAUCUCAUGCUCCUUCACUUGGGGAAGAAAUGGAGUUUCCCGAGGAGCAGUUUCUUUGGAGUUAGUGGCAAGAGUGUGCAGAUUAAGGAGACCUUUGGCCCGGGGGAACUGGACAGCUGUUUACAUACUUGCAAAAAGAACGUUAGCCCCUCUCUUCUCUGAUAUCUUCACUUCUUGAUUCAGCUUGUUUUUUGCAUCUGUCCUAAUGCAAAAAUUAAAAAUUCCUAAAGAAUUACCUCAAACAGAAACCAGAAGCUACAAAAAAUACCCCCCCCCAGAGGUGGGGGCUAAAUAUCACUAGAGAAAAAAGAAGCCCAAUGUAACUUGUCACUUUGUCACCUACACUUAUAAUAUUGAUUUGAAAAUACUUCUUUUUAAAGAAAACCAACCUAAGCUAAGUCUAAGAAAUACUAGAUCCUGAAGCAAGGUCCCUUAAAGGAUGAUU